Molecule: ribosomal RNA, 221 nt
Filed under: Rhynchites auratus
Lineage: Eukaryota; Metazoa; Arthropoda; Insecta; Coleoptera; Attelabidae
Description: partial 16S ribosomal RNA
Rfam family: Bacterial large subunit ribosomal RNA (bases 87-221)
Source: RNAcentral
AAUUGAAUAAACUUUUUUUUAUAGAUUUACAUUGAUGUAUGAGUAAUUGAUCCAUAUAAAUGAUUAAAAGAUUAAAUUACCUUAGGGAUAACAGCGUAAUAAUUCUUGAGAGUUCAAAUUGAAAGAAUUGAUUGCGACCUCGAUGUUGGAUUAAAAAAAAAUUAUGGUGUARAASCUAUAAGGUUAGGUCUGUUCGACCUAUAAUAUUUUACAUGAUCUGA